This 497-nucleotide ribosomal RNA is filed under the name uncultured bacterium. RNAcentral's name for it is "partial 16S ribosomal RNA". It matches the Rfam family "Bacterial small subunit ribosomal RNA", at positions 28 to 507 of the family's 1533-position model. The record is from RNAcentral.
GAUGAACGCUGGCGGCGUGCCUAAUACAUGCAAGUCGAGCGAACAGACGAGGAGCUUGCUCCUUUGACGUUAGCGGCGGACGGGUGAGUAACACGUAGGUAACCUACCUAUAAGACUGGGAUAACUUCGGGAAACCGGAGCUAAUACCGGAUAAUAUUUCGAACCGCAUGGUUCGAUAGUGAAAGAUGGCUUUGCUAUCACUUAUAGAUGUACCUGCGCCGUAUUAGCUAGUUGGUAAGGUAACGGCUUACCAAGGCAACGAUACGUAGCCGACCUGAGAGGGUGAUCGGCCACACUGGAACUGAGACACGGUCCAGACUCCUACGGGAGGCAGCAGUAGGGACUCUUCCGCAAUGGGCGAAAGCCUGACGGAGCAACGCCGCGUGAGUGAUGAAGGUCUUCGGAUCGUAAAACUCUGUUAUUAGGGAAGACCAGACGUGUAAGUAACUGUGCACGUCUUGACGGUACCUAAUCAGAAAGCCACGGCUAACUACGUG